UACGUAGGGUGCGAGCGUUGUCCGGAAUUAUUGGGCGUAAAGAGCUCGUAGGCGGUUUGUUGCGUCUAUCGUGAAAACCUGCAGCUUAACUGUGGGCGUGCGGUCGAUACGGGCAUCACUGGAGUUCGGCAGGGGAGACUGGAAUUCCUGGUGUAGCGGUGAAAUGCGCAGAUAUCAGGAGGAACACCGGUGGCGAAGGCGGGUCUCUGGGCCGAUACUGACGCUGAGGAGCGAAAGCGUGGGGAGCAAACAGG
Molecule: ribosomal RNA, 254 nt
Filed under: uncultured bacterium
Lineage: Bacteria
Description: partial 16S ribosomal RNA
Rfam family: Bacterial small subunit ribosomal RNA
Source: RNAcentral